This 433-nucleotide ribosomal RNA is filed under the name uncultured bacterium. RNAcentral's name for it is "partial 16S ribosomal RNA". It matches the Rfam family "Bacterial small subunit ribosomal RNA", at positions 29 to 507 of the family's 1533-position model. The record is from RNAcentral.
AACGAACGCUGGCGGCAUGCCUAACACAUGCAAGUCGAACGAGACCUUCGGGUCUAGUGGCGCACGGGUGCGUAACGCGUGGGAACCUGCCCUUAGGUUCGGAAUAACUCCCCGAAAGGGGUGCUAAUACCGGAUAAUGUCUUCGGACCAAAGAUUUAUCGCCUUUGGAUGGGCCCGCGUUGGAUUAGCUAGUUGGUAGGGUAAAAGCCUACCAAGGCGACGAUCCAUAGCUGGUCUGAGAGGAUGAUCAGCCACACUGGGACUGAGACACGGCCCAGACUCCUACGGGAGGCAGCAGUGGGGAAUAUUGGACAAUGGGCGAAAGCCUGAUCCAGCAAUGCCGCGUGAGUGAUGAAGGCAUUAGGGUUGUAAAGCUCUUUUACCCGGGAUGAUAAUGACAGUACCGGAAGAAUAAGCUCCGGCUAACUCCGUG